Molecule: ribosomal RNA, 427 nt
Filed under: uncultured bacterium
Lineage: Bacteria
Description: partial 16S ribosomal RNA
Rfam family: Bacterial small subunit ribosomal RNA
Source: RNAcentral
UGGGGAAUAUUGCACAAUGGGCGCAAGCCUGAUGCAGCCAUGCCGCGUGUAUGAAGAAGGCCUUCGGGUUGUAAAGUACUUUCAGCGGGGAGGAAGGUGUUGAGGUUAAUAACCUCAGCAAUUGACGUUACCCGCAGAAGAAACACCGGCUAACUCCGUGCCAGCAGCCGCGGUAAUACGGAGGGUGCAAGCGUUAAUCGGAAUUACUGGGCGUAAAGCGCACGCAGGCGGUCUGUCAAGUCGGAUGUGAAAUCCCCGGGCUCAACCUGGGAACUGCAUUCGAAACUGGCAGGCUAGAGUCUUGUAGAGGGGGGUAGAAUUCCAGGUGUAGCGGUGAAAUGCGUAGAGAUCUGGAGGAAUACCGGUGGCGAAGGCGGCCCCCUGGACAAAGACUGACGCUCAGGUGCGAAAGCGUGGGGAGCAAACA